GGGUAAUGGGGAGGGUGGGGGGAUGGGGGAGGGGGCUUCAUUGGGUCACUGGGAUCAACGGGGUGGAAUUGGGGUCAAUGGGGACAGGGGGGUCAGUGGGGACAUUGGGUUCAUUGGGUCACUGGGAUCAACGGGGUCAAAUUGGGGUCCGUGGGGCACUGGGGUCACGUUGGGGUCAAUGGGGACAGUGGGGGACGUCUCCGUUGCCCCCCAGGGAGCUGCAGUGCACGGAGGUGCAGCCGGGCGGGCAGCAGCUGCAGUGCAUCCUCAGCAGCACCCACAGCACGGGGGAGGAGGCACCCAAAGGUGCUGCCCACGGACCCCCUCUGUGAGUCACCCCCCACCCAACGUGGCGCUGCGGACCACUGGGUGCCCACCGGGGCAAGAUGGCCGCCGCCAGGAUGAGGGGUGCUGUGCCAAGAUGGCCGCCACCGCCAUGAGGGGCGUCGUGACGAGAUGGCUGCCAUUCCAAGAUGGCUGGCUCCACCAAGAAGGUCGCCAUUCCAAGAUGGCACCCACCAAGAUGGCCGCCAAUCCAAGAUGGCUACCAAUCCAACAUGGCCGCCACCUCGGCCUGACGUUCUCCACGUGGCGCAGCUUGAUGACAUCAUCUCCCAUGGCCCCACCCACUGAACUGAAGGGGGCGGGAUCUUCCCUAACGGCCACGCCCACUUGGGGGCGUGGCCUUCUGAGUGGGCGUGGCCUCGUGGGCCGUUUUUAAUCUUCCUUUUCUCGGGUUUUUUUAAAAACGUUUUUAUAAUUUUUUUUUUUUAAACAUUUUUAUUAAAUUAUGGCCCAAAGUUGGAGCCAAGAAACACGCUGCCUGUAUGCAAAUGAAGGGGGCGUGGCCUCACUGCCCCAUUGAUUUCAUUGUGUCCAUGGGGUCGCGUUGCCCCCAAUGGGAUCCACGUGUCCCCGUUUGACCCCAUUGUGACCCCAACGUGACCCCAUUGUCCCCAACAUGACCCCAAUGUCCCCAAUGUCACCCCGGUGUCCCCAAUGUCACCCCAUUGACCCCACUGCCACCCCAAUGUGACCCCAUUGACCCCAAUGUCACCCCGAUGUCCCCAGUGUGACCCCAAUGUCCCCAAUGUCACCUCAAUGUCCUCAUUGCCCCCAACGUGACCCCAUUGACCCCAUGCCCCCCAAUGU
Molecule: long non-coding RNA, 1152 nt
Filed under: Phasianus colchicus (ring-necked pheasant)
Lineage: Eukaryota; Metazoa; Chordata; Aves; Galliformes; Phasianidae
Description: lncRNA (ENSPCLG00000017882.1)
Source: RNAcentral